CCCAAGACUAACAAUAUAUAUUGGAAAUGGCCACCCCAAGCCUGGGCUGAAUCUCUGUGCCCCUGGGAGCUUCAUCUGUGGGGAUGCCCACAAAGCAUCUGUCCUCAGCACAGAGCUUUCCUCUCAGAGCUGUGUGGCAGAUGUUAUGGUAUAACUGGGAGCCUUGCAAGAGGCACUGCCAGCCGCUGGCCUGCCCCUGAAUGGAGGAUUUGGUUUAUGCAACUGGAAAGAAAAUCUCCAUGGCAACAGAAGGAGGGAGAGACCUGAACUGUCACUGCAAGGAAGGGGUGGGAUGGACCCCUCCAUUCGUAACCAUGGCAUGGGCUGAAUGCACAUCUCAGUUCUGAUUUCAGCAGCCACUCCUAUCCACAGGAUAAAUCAAAGGAUACAAAACAAUUACCUAGCCUUACAAAGAAUUAAUCAGGAUCUGGAAGAUAAACUUUACAGAAUGGCACUUCAGAUCAAAGCAAAGAAUUUUUAAACUGCUGUUUCAGCAUCCACUUAAAACCCAGAGCAAAGAUUUCAGGAAGAAGCAAGACUGCUUCCACGGAGCACUGUACCUUUCUUUAUCCCAUUAGUAUGACAAUCAUCGAAGGCAGCUUCAGAGGCUUGAAGAAGAUCAACCAGGCUCUGUACACCACUUAAAUUCAGACUGUUUUGCCUUCUGAAACACUGAAACUGAAGACAUAAAAUAAAACCAAACAAAAAAUCA
RNAcentral lists this long non-coding RNA (712 nucleotides) under Anser brachyrhynchus (Pink-footed goose). RNAcentral's name for it is "lncRNA (ENSABRG00000006942.1)". The record is from RNAcentral. Lineage: Eukaryota; Metazoa; Chordata; Aves; Anseriformes; Anatidae.